UAAGAAUUUUCUUAUUUUGAAGCUUGAUUAAGCAAUUAGUGAUAGCCAAGAGUCCAGUGCUUUCUUGAAGCAAACUCUCUCUACCCUAACAAUGGAUUUAGUUUUCUUGAUUAAAGGUAUUUUUUGAUUUUUGACAAAAUCUUCAUUUAUAAAAUAGGCUAAGGCUCUUGAAUCUAAUAAGAUAAAGACUUUAAGAUUUUUAGGUCCUAAAUACACAUGUAUUAUAAAUCAAGGUGAUGGGUUUGAAGAGAAGAUAGGAUCUUUACUAGGUAUUGCACAUGAUUCUAGCCGCAAGAUCCCUAUUGUAGCUAAAAAAUUUUAUUUUUCAAAACAUUAUCUUCUUUGGUAAUUAUACUCUUCAUUUUGUAAUUGUAUUGCU
Molecule: long non-coding RNA, 379 nt
Filed under: Physcomitrium patens
Lineage: Eukaryota; Viridiplantae; Streptophyta; Bryopsida; Funariales; Funariaceae
Description: long non-coding RNA (PPAT_LNC004038)
Source: RNAcentral